This 874-nucleotide ribosomal RNA is filed under the name uncultured bacterium. RNAcentral describes it as "bacterial SSU rRNA". It matches the Rfam family "Bacterial small subunit ribosomal RNA", at positions 21 to 893 of the family's 1533-position model. The record is from RNAcentral.
GGCUCAGGAUGAACGCUAGCGGCAGGCCUAACACAUGCAAGUCGAGGGGCAGCACGGGUAGCAAUACUUGGUGGCGACCGGCGCACGGGUGAGUAACGCGUAUGCAACCUACCCUAUAUCGGGGAAUAGCUCGUCGAAAGGCGAAUUAAUACCCCAUAACACUAUGAACUGGCAUCAGUUUACAGUUAAAACUCCGGUGAUAUAGGAUGGGCAUGCGUGACAUUAGCUAGUUGGUAGGGUAACGGCCUACCAAGGCUACGAUGUCUAAGGGGUCUGAGAGGAUGAUCCCUCACACUGGUACUGAGACACGGACCAGACUCCUACGGGAGGCAGCAGUGAGGAAUAUUGGUCAAUGGGGGCAACCCUGAACCAGCCAUGCCGCGUGAAGGAAGACGGCCCUAAGGGUUGUAAACUUCUUUUGUACGGGGGUAAACUCUUCUACGUGUAGGAGAUUGAAAGUACUGUACGAAUAAGCAUCGGCUAACUCCGUGCCAGCAGCCGCGGUAAUACGGAGGAUGCGAGCGUUAUCCGGAUUUAUUGGGUUUAAAGGGUGCGUAGGCGGACCUAUAAGUCAGCGGUGAAAGACUGUCGCUCAACGAUAGCAUUGCCGUUGAUACUGUAGAUCUUGAGUACAUUUGAGGUGGGCGGAAUGUGUAGUGUAGCGGUGAAAUGCUUAGAUAUUACACAGAACACCAAUUGCGAAGGCAGCUCACUAAACUGUAACUGACGCUGUGGCACGAAAGCGUGGGGAUCAAACAGGAUUAGAUACCCUGGUAGUCCACGCCGUAAACUAUGAUCACUGGAUGUUAGCGAUACACAGCUAGCGUCUGAGUAAAAGCAUUAAGUGAUCCACCUGGGGAGUACGUCGGCAACG